AUUGAACGCUGGCGGCAGGCCUAACACAUGCAAGUCGAGCGGAUGAAGGGAGCUUGCUCCUGGAUUCAGCGGCGGACGGGUGAGUAAUGCCUAGGAAUCUGCCUGGUAGUGGGGGAUAACGUCCGGAAACGGGCGCUAAUACCGCAUACGUCCUGAGGGAGAAAGUGGGGGAUCUUCGGACCUCACGCUAUCAGAUGAGCCUAGGUCGGAUUAGCUAGUUGGUGGGGUAAAGGCCUACCAAGGAGACGAUCCGUAACUGGUCUGAGAGGAUGGUCAGUCACACUGGAACUUGGACACGGUCCAGACGCCUACGGGAGGGAGCAGUGGGGAAUAUUGGACAACGGGGGGAAGCCUGAUCCAGCCAGGCGGCGUGUGUGAAGAAGGUCUUCGGAUUGUAAAGCACUCUAAGUUGGGAGGAAGGGCAGUAAGCUAAGACCUUGCUGUUUUGACGGUACCAACAGAAUAAGCACCGGCUAACUUCGUG
Molecule: ribosomal RNA, 484 nt
Filed under: uncultured bacterium
Lineage: Bacteria
Description: partial 16S ribosomal RNA
Rfam family: Bacterial small subunit ribosomal RNA
Source: RNAcentral